CGAUGCUGCUGAUCGCUCAUUACUAUGCCACGCGCUCUGCAGCCCAGAGUGUCAAACAGCUGGAAACCGUGGCUGCCAGGCUUUCUGUUUCACUCUUGCGUCACACCCAGCUACUACCUGUAGACAAAGCCUUCUAUGAAGCAGGCAUUGCUGCCAAGGUGAGCUGGGACAAGGAAGGGUGGGGCAGAUAGGAGGAAGUUAAAGGUUGGAAAAUAGAAUAUCCCUUCUGCUCUGGUAGAGGAAAGCUGAGUGUAGGGCUGAUGUUACGGAGGAUGUAGUCCUCCUAUGUCUUCCUGGAUUUUUCUCCCUGGAUCCCAGAGAAAUAGCAUUCAAGCCCAGCUUGCUCACUCCCAUUUGCAUCUGGAUCCCAGAGAAGUAGCAUUCAAACCCAGCUUGUUCACUCCCAUUUGCAACUCUUCUCUGCUGCAGGCAGUUGGCUGGGAUAACAUGGCAUUCAUCUUCCUCAAUCGCUUUUUG
This 477-nucleotide small RNA is filed under the name Pan troglodytes (chimpanzee). Its description in RNAcentral is "retained intron". The record is from RNAcentral. Lineage: Eukaryota; Metazoa; Chordata; Mammalia; Primates; Hominidae.